AGAAAGAAUUAGAUUCAUCUGUUCAUUGCUAUUCUGAACACAGGACAGAGCACUGCAUAUUUUUGUGUGAGAGAAUUAAUCAGCGACGUUUGUCCUUAACAAGACUUAAUUAAGUAGCCUUUCGAUGGAUAUAUCACCAUUCUUCAAAGACCACAUGGAGUCGUUAACGGCAAACAAACAAACAGCCUUUUUCAAGGCUUCCAGCCUAUUUACAGGCAUCCCACCAGCCUUUUCCCCUUUCCCCUUUUUCUCGGGACUCCUCCCAACGGAUACAAGGUGAACAUGGCACUUUCUCGUGCCCGGGAUGAAGUGCACUACCUGAAAAGGAAGGUGAGCGAACUCAGUGCUCACACUGAAACUGGGAGGUACAGUUUGACCAACCUGUUUAAAGGCAAAGAUCUUGCCUAUGAGCAGACAAGAACAGAAAGAAGUUUUCAGACCACAUCAGGGAGAACAAGGGUUUGUCUCUGAAGCUCCACAGAGACCACCGAACAACUCGUUGUCCAAAAUGCUGAACCCACGGUCCAGCAGCAGGCCAACAACCAACGGUUGAAAGCAGAACACAAACUGCUAAAGAGCAAGACAGAGGCUCUGGCUGAGGUUAUCGGGGAAAAGAAGAGUUUGUUUCUGAAGCUCUUUGAGUACGGCGAACAACUCUUCGUCAAAAGUGCUGAACUCACGGUCAACAAAGGGACCUGGCAGCAGAAGUUGGAGGAAAAGACAUUCAAGGAACAGUCUUUGGAGUAAGUAACAGGGUUACUCUCCACCAACAUUUCUCUUCAAGAGGAGCUGCACAAGCAGCAGGCCAACAACCAGCAGUUGGUAGAAGAACACAAACUGCUAAAGAUCAAGACAGAGGCUCUGGAUGAGACUAUCAGGGAGAACGAAGGUUUAUCUCUGAAGCUCACCGAGACCACAAAACAACUUUCUGUCAAAAGUGCUGAACUCAGGGUCAACAACGAGACGUGGCAGCAGUUGGAAGCAGAAAACAAACUGCUGAAGACCCAGAGGGAUUCUCUGGCUGCUUUAAAAAAGAGCCAAGAGGAAACCCACCACGAGAUGGUCACUAGCACUGAGUUGUGCCUGAUCUCUAAGAUCCAACAAACGGAGGAUACCAUUCCCAAAGAACAUCAGAUCCUUAUCACCAGGAUCCAAGAAUUAGAGGACGACAAAACAGUCCUUGAAAACAUCUGCCUCGACUUAAAAAAACGGACCGGCAGACGGAGAUGGACAAAAUGAGGCAUAAGCUGCAGGACAAGGAGAUAAAGAAAUAGGAGAGAGAAGAAAAAGCAGACCAUCCAGGACGUCAACAUCAACGUGCCUGAGACUGGACACCUGUAAGAACACCUUCCUUCACCUCCCACUCCAUCCUACCUCAUCCAUCUACCCUGAAAAAAAAAAAAAAAAGAGAUCUGAAAAAAAGAGAUCUAAAAAAGAAAGAUCUAAAGAAAAAAAAGAUCCCAGAGGGAUUCUCUGGCUGCUUAUUUUUUUUACAACCUAAUCAGGUUUGCACAUUUCCCUUACCUGAUUUCUGCCUUAUUUUUAUUUCAUGUACAUUUAUUUAAAUAUUGUUUUGUUAUUUUUUAUUUUUUAAUUGGUCGGCUUUAAUUAACUGUACUGUUAAUUUAUAUUGCACACAUUUCAUUUCAUUUUUUUUUUACAACCUGCCAAGAGGUUACCCACCACGAGAUGGUCACAAGCAGUGGUUUCACUGCGUUGUGCCUGAUCGCUAAGAUCCAACAAACGGAGGAUACCAUCCCCAAAGAACAACAGAUCCUUAUCAGCAGGAUCCAAGAAUUAGAGGACAACAAAACAGUCCUUAAAAACAUCUGCCUGUGCUUAAAAAAAAAAAAAAGGCCGGCAGACGGAGAUGGACAAAAUGAGGCAUAAGAUGCAGGACAAGGAGAUAAAGAAAUAGGAGAGAGAAGAAAAAGCAGACCAUCCAGGACGUCAACAUCAACGUGCCUGAGACUGGACACCUAUAAGAACACCUUCCUUCACCUCCCACUCCAUCCUACCUCAUCCAUCUACCCUGAAAAAAACUAAAAAAAGAUCUAAAAAAAAAAAAAAGAGAUCUGAAAAAAAAGAGAUCUAAAAAAGAAAGAUCUAAAAAGAAAAAAAGAUCCCAGAGGGAUUCUCUGGCUGCUUAUUUUUUUUACAACCUGCUCAGUCUUGCACAUUUCCCAUACCUCAUUUCUGCCUUAUUUUUAUUUCAUGUACAUUUAUUUAAAUAUUGUUUUGUUAUUUUUUAUUUUGUAAUUGGUUGGCUUUAAUUAACUGUACUGUUAAUUUAUAUUGCACACAUUUCAUUUCAUUUUUUUUUUUACAACCUGCUCGGUUUUGCACAUUUCCGCUUACCUCAUUUGUGCCUUCUUUUUAUUUCAUGUACAUUUAAGUAAAUAUUGUAUUUUUAUUUUUGUUUUUAUUUUAAAAUUGGUCGGCUUUAUAGAAAAGGCGAGCACCACGAGCUGGUCACAAGCAGUGGUUUCACUGAGUUGUGCCUGAUCUCUAAGAUCCAACAAAUGGAGGAUACCAUCCCCAGGGACCUCCCACUCCAUCCUACCUCAUCCUUCUCAAAUAACAAUAAAGGAAAUGUUUACCCCAAUCUGCUGUCUACUGGUUAUCACUAGAUUGUACUUACAGACCAACUUAUUUUACUGUUUACUACAGUGAUUCACUUAUUUUCACUUAUUACACAUGUAGACAUUAGUAAUUGAAAUAUAUUAACUUGGCUGUUGUUGUUGUUCCUGUUUAUGUUGCUGCUGCUUUUCCAUGAUGUUGAGUACAAUCUUCUCAAUAGAAGCUUGUGUCAGCAUCUGAACAGGUGGAGGUGGGUGAACAAUUGCAACAGACAUCGUAACAACUGGCACACUAGUGGUCUCACUCACCUCUGUCAGAGAGUUUCUGCCUCUCUUGCAGUUUUUCUGGACUGACGUUUAAAGAGGAACUGGUGUUCAACAAUUUGCUGAGGUGCUUUACAUAUUGUAGAACAUGUAGUUUUGUUGUUGGGUGGAGCAUGCUGUUGGGGUCUGUACAGGAGUUGUGAACUAGAGCAGCGUAGUCCUGGUCCACAAGCUUCAGUGUGUCUUUCUGCUCAUGGGUUUUGUUGAGCAGCUGGUUGAUAACUGCCAGCGACGGCGGACGUAGAGUUUCUACAGGAACAAAAGACGGAGUAUAAUAAGUCAUUCUGACCUAUAGAAUCAAAUACUUGUAUAAUAAAUAUAAACUUUCAUUAAAAUCUCAUGAAAGACUGGUAUUUGUAUGUGAAUGUUUAUUCAAUAACACCCUUAAUACAUUUUCACAUCUUGUAAAAAAAUCGAAAAGUGACACAAAGGUAUGGAGCAAACUGGAACAACCUUGAUGGUGCCAGUGAGGAUGACAGAGGAACCUCCGACUAGGUAGCGAGUGGAUCACUUUGAGGAGGUGGAUUCGGGGCCUGGGUGUGAUCUGUCUUGCUGUUCUGCUUGUCCCAGUCCAGAGGAACUGAGCAAAGGAACUGUACAGGGCGUGAUGCUCCGACACACACUCACGGAGGAACCGCCUCAUGCAGUGAAACAAGUCCAGC
Long non-coding RNA from Gasterosteus aculeatus aculeatus (three-spined stickleback), 3565 nucleotides. NCBI's taxonomy places the organism in Eukaryota, Metazoa, Chordata, Actinopteri, Perciformes, Gasterosteidae. The record is from Ensembl.